RNAcentral lists this unclassified non-coding RNA (187 nucleotides) under soil metagenome. RNAcentral's name for it is "partial internal transcribed spacer 1". The record is from RNAcentral.
CAGAGUUGAAAGACUCUCCCAAACCAUCGCGAACGUUACCCUUACCGUUGCUUCGGCGGGCGGUCUCCUUAACACCCCACGGGUUGGAAACCCCGGCCCCCCUUUCGCGGGGGGGCGCCCGCCGGAGGUCACGCAAACUCUUGAUACCUGAACGGCCUCUCUGAGUAUUCUGUACUGAAUUAAGUCA